CUCCAGACUCCUACGGGAGGCAGCAGUGGGGAAUAUUGCACAAUGGGGGGAACCCUGAUGCAGCGACGCCGCGUGGGUGAAGGAGUAUUUCGGUAUGUAAAGCCCUAUCAGCAGGGAAGAACAAUGACGGUACCUGACUAAGAAGCACCGGCUAAAUACGUGCCAGCAGCCGCGGUAAUACGUAUGGUGCAAGCGUUAUCCGGAUUUACUGGGUGUAAAGGGAGCGCAGGCGGCCUUGCAAGUCUGAUGUGAAAGGCCGGGGCCCAACCCCGGGACUGCAUUGGAAACUGCGAGGCUGGAGUGUCGGAGAGGCAGGCGGAAUUCCUAGUGUAGCGGUGAAAUGCGUAGAUAUCAGGAGGAACACCGGCGGCGAAGGCGGCCUGCUGGACCGUGACUGACGUUGAGGCUCGAGAGCGUGGGGAGCAAACAGGAUUAGAUACCCCCGUA
Molecule: ribosomal RNA, 447 nt
Filed under: uncultured bacterium
Lineage: Bacteria
Description: partial 16S ribosomal RNA
Rfam family: Bacterial small subunit ribosomal RNA
Source: RNAcentral